RNAcentral lists this ribosomal RNA (704 nucleotides) under uncultured bacterium. RNAcentral's name for it is "bacterial SSU rRNA". It matches the Rfam family "Bacterial small subunit ribosomal RNA", at positions 9 to 706 of the family's 1533-position model. The record is from RNAcentral.
GAGUUUGAUCAUGGCUCAGAUUGAACGCUGGCGGCAUGCCUUACACAUGCAAGUCGAACGGCAGCACGGGAGCAAUCCUGGUGGCGAGUGGCGAACGGGUGAGUAAUAUAUCGGAACGUGCCCAGUCGUGGGGGAUAACGUAGCGAAAGCUACGCUAAUACCGCAUACGAUCUACGGAUGAAAGCGGGGGACUCGCAAGAGCCUCGCGCGAUUGGAGCGGCCGAUAUCAGAUUAGGCUGUUGGUGAGGUAAAAGCUCACCAAGCCUGCGAUCUGUAGCUGGUCUGAGAGGACGACCAGCCACACUGGAACUGAGACACGGUCCAGACUCCUACGGGAGGCAGCAGUGGGGAAUUUUGGACAAUGGACGCAAGUCUGAUCCAGCAAUGCCGCGUGCAGGACGAAGGCCUUCGGGUUGUAAACUGCUUUUGUACGGAACGAAACGGUCUUCUUUAAUACAGAGGGCUAAUGACGGUACCGUAAGAAUAAGCACCGGCUAACUACGUGCCAGCAGCCGCGGUAAUACGUAGGGUGCGAGCGUUAAUCGGAAUUACUGGGCGUAAAGCGUGCGCAGGCGGUUAUAUAAGUCAGAUGUGAAAUCCCCGGGCUCAACCUGGGACCUGCAUUUGAGACUGUAUAGCUAGAGUACGGUAGAGGGGGAUGGAAUUCCGCGUGUAGCAGUGAAAUGCGUAGAUAUGCGGAGGAA